GUUAGGGAUCUUGCGCAAUGGGCGGAAGCCUGACGCAGCGACGCCGCGUGAGGGAAGACGGCCUUCGGGUUGUAAACCUCUUUUCAACGGGACGAGGAUGGACGGUACUGUUGGAAUAAGCACCGGCUAACUCCGUGCCAGCAGCCGCGGUAAUACGGAGGGUGCGAGCGUUGUCCGGAUUCACUGGGCGUAAAGGGCGCGUAGGCGGAUGUAUCAGUCGGUCGUGAAAGGCCAGGGCUUAUCUUUGGUGAGCGACCGGGACGGUACAUCUUGGGCGUGGUAGAGGGAAACGGAAUGCCGGGUGUAGUGGUGAAAUGCGUAGAGAUCCGGCGGAACACCGGUGGCGAAGGCGGUUUCCUGGGCCAAGGCCGACGCUGAGGCGCGAGAGCGUGGGGAGCGAACCGGAUUAGAAACCCUUGUAGUCC
This 425-nucleotide ribosomal RNA is filed under the name uncultured bacterium. RNAcentral's name for it is "bacterial SSU rRNA". It matches the Rfam family "Bacterial small subunit ribosomal RNA", at positions 354 to 796 of the family's 1533-position model. The record is from RNAcentral.